Molecule: unclassified non-coding RNA, 253 nt
Filed under: Bombus terrestris (buff-tailed bumblebee)
Lineage: Eukaryota; Metazoa; Arthropoda; Insecta; Hymenoptera; Apidae
Description: misc RNA ENSBTSG00005028582.1
Source: RNAcentral
GGUAUUACGUGUUGGGCUCGCUCGAGUCUAACAACGGUAUCGGCAAUCUCGUUCGAAUUCCCGCAGGGAGGGCUCGCUUUUGGGAGCCUAUGGGGGCUGGCAAACCCACGUUCCCGCAGCCAGGGGGACCGUCGGGACAAGCGUCCUGCUUACGUGAGUCCCUAUGUACUCCGCAGGGAAGGUCGCCGUGAGUGUAAGGCGUUUAAUUACAGUUACAUUCUCUCUACGUGGCCUUGGGUAGUAGCGCACCCAC